UACGAGGGGGGCGAGCGUUGUUCGGAAUUAUUGGGCGUAAAGGGUGCGUAGGCGGUUCCGCAAGUCCUGUGUGAAAUCUUCGGGCUCAACUCGAAGUCUGCACGGGAAACUGCGGGGCUUGAGUGUGGGAGAGGUGACUGGAAUUCCUGGUGUAGCGGUGAAAUGCGCAGAUAUCAGGAGGAACACCGGUGGCGAAGGCGGGUCUCUGGGCAGUAACUGACGCUGAGGAGCGAAAGCGUGGGGAGCGAACAGG
Molecule: ribosomal RNA, 253 nt
Filed under: uncultured bacterium
Lineage: Bacteria
Description: partial 16S ribosomal RNA
Rfam family: Bacterial small subunit ribosomal RNA
Source: RNAcentral